GAUGAACGCUGGCGGCGUGCCUAAUACAUGCAAGUCGAGCGAACGGACGAGAAGCUUGCUUCUCUGAUGUUAGCGGCGGACGGGUGAGUAACACGUGGAUAACCUACCUAUAAGACUGGGAUAACUUCGGGAAACCGUAGCUAAUACCGGAUAAUAUUUUGAACCGCAUGGUUCAAAAGUGAAAGACGGUCUUGCUGUCACUUAUAGAUGGAUCCGCGCUGCAUUAGCUAGUUGGUAAGGUAACGGCUUACCAAGGCAACGAUGCAUAGCCACCUGAGAGGGUGAUCGGCCACACUGGAACUGAGACACGGUCCAGACUCCUACGGGAGGCAGCAGUAGGGAAUCUUCCGCAAUGGGCGAAAGCCUGACGGAGCAACGCCGCGUGAGUGAUGAAGGUCUUCGGAUCGUAAAACUCUGUUAUUAGGGAAGAACAUAUGUGUAAGUAACUGUGCACAUCUUGACGGUACCUAAUCAGAAAGCCACGGCUAACUACGUG
Molecule: ribosomal RNA, 496 nt
Filed under: uncultured bacterium
Lineage: Bacteria
Description: partial 16S ribosomal RNA
Rfam family: Bacterial small subunit ribosomal RNA
Source: RNAcentral